GAGUGAACGGGAAGAGCUCAGCGCUGAAUCUCUUUGCUGUAAUGGUAAAGCGAACUGUAGCGUCUAUUGAUUAAUAUUCCAUAAUCUAUAGAAUCUUAAGUUCUCUUUGACUAGAGUUCCAUAGAAGGUGAUAGACCUGUUAAGAUUUUUUAUAUUUUAUGGUUAUUUUAUGCUUUGAGUCGGGUUGUUUGGAAACACAGCCCAAAGUAGGUGGUAAACUUCACCUAAAGCUAAAUAUAUGUAUGAAUCCGAUAGCAAACAAGUACCGUGAGGGAAAGUUGAAAAGAACUCUGAAGAGAGAGUUAAAUAGUACGUGAAACUGAAUGAGUGGAAGCGUAUAGAGUUGUCGAAAGAUGGUAAUAAUAAGUUUUAUGGAAAUGUAACGGUCUGUAAAAUGUUUUCGUAUGAUUCAUUUUAUGGUUGCAGUUUAUUUUUGUAAAAUGCACUUGUUGCCAUUGUGCUGAUACAAUUGAUUGAGAUUUUUGAGAUUAUAUUAGAGGGCAUAUCUUCGGAUGUGUAUCCUGAUAUAAUGGAAAAGAUUUUUGGUUAAUUGUCCUUUAAUGAUUAAAAGAUGGAUUAUAUUUUAUCAGGCUUAAGAGUUAACGCGUGCGUUGGCUUUUUUGUUUGGUUUUGUAUAGUUUUUAUGAUAGUUAUUAAAUAUCAGUAUAAAAGACAAUCACCUAUAUGUCCCGUCUUGAAACACGGACCAAGGAGUUUAUUGUAUGUGCGAGUCAUUAAGUGAUCAAAACUUAUUGGCGUAAUGAAAGUAAAGCAAGUUUUUGACUUGUGAUAUAUGAUUGUUUUUUCUUCGGAAUAACAAGCAGUAUAGUCCCAUUUAAUUUGCUUGCAAAUGGGUGGAGAUAGAGCAUAUGCAAUGAGACCCGAAAGAUGGUGAACUAUACCUGAGCAGGAUGAAGUUAAAGGGGACUCUGAUGGAAGUCCGAAGCGGCUCUGGCGUGCAAAUCGAUCGU
This 971-nucleotide ribosomal RNA is filed under the name Panagrolaimus sp. 1 HMM2018. RNAcentral's name for it is "eukaryotic LSU rRNA". It matches the Rfam family "Eukaryotic large subunit ribosomal RNA", at positions 91 to 905 of the family's 3401-position model. Lineage: Eukaryota; Metazoa; Nematoda; Chromadorea; Rhabditida; Panagrolaimidae. The record is from RNAcentral.